Molecule: ribosomal RNA, 497 nt
Filed under: uncultured bacterium
Lineage: Bacteria
Description: partial 16S ribosomal RNA
Rfam family: Bacterial small subunit ribosomal RNA
Source: RNAcentral
GACGAACGCUGGCGGCGUGCCUAAUACAUGCAAGUAGAACGCUGAAGAGAGGAGCUUGCUCUUCUUGGAUGAGUUGCGAACGGGUGAGUAACGCGUAGGUAACCUGCCUUGUAGCGGGGGAUAACUAUUGGAAACGAUAGCUAAUACCGCAUAACAAUGGAUGACACAUGUCUUUUAUUUGAAAGGGGCAAUUGCUCCACUACAAGAUGGACCUGCGUUGUAUUAGCUAGUAGGUGAGGUAAUGGCUCACCUAGGCGACGAUACAUAGCCGACCUGAGGGGGUGAUCGGCCACACUGGGACGGAGACACGGCCCAGACUCCUACGGGAGGCAGCAGUAGGGAAUCUUCGGCAAUGGGGGCAACCCUGACCGAGCAACGCCGCGUGAGGGAAGAAGGGUUUCGGAUCGGAAAGCUCGGUUGUAAGUCAAGAACGGGUGUGAGAGUGGAAAGUUCACACUGUGACGGUAGCUUACCAGAAAGGGACGGCUAACUACGUG